GACGAACGCUGGCGGCGUGCUUAACACAUGCAAGUCGAACGGAAAGGCCCUGCUUUUGUGGGGUGCUCGAGUGGCGAACGGGUGAGUAACACGUGAGUAACCUGCCCUUGACUUUGGGAUAACUUCAGGAAACUGGGGCUAAUACCGGAUAGGAGCUCCUGCUGCAUGGUGGGGGUUGGAAAGUUUCGGCGGUUGGGGAUGGACUCGCGGCUUAUCAGCUUGUUGGUGGGGUAGUGGCUUACCAAGGCUUUGACGGGUAGCCGGCCUGAGAGGGUGACCGGCCACAUUGGGACUGAGAUACGGCCCAGACUCCUACGGGAGGCAGCAGUGGGGAAUAUUGCACAAUGGGCGGAAGCCUGAUGCAGCAACGCCGCGUGCGGGAUGACGGCCUUCGGGUUGUAAACCGCUUUCGCCUGUGACGAAGCGUGAGUGACGGUAAUGGGUAAAGAAGCACCGGCUAACUACGUGCCAGCAGCCGCGGUGAUACGUAGGGUGCGAGCGUUGUCCGGAUUUAUUGGGCGUAAAGGGCUCGUAGGUGGUUGAUCGCGUCGGAAGUGUAAUCUUGGGGCUUAACCCUAAGCGUGCUUUCGAUACGGGUUGACUUGAGGAAGGUAGGGGAGAAUGGAAUUCCUGGUGGAGCGGUGGAAUGCGCAGAUAUCAGGAGGAACACCAGUGGCGAAGGCGGUUCUCUGGGCCUUUCCUGACGCUGAGGAGCGAAAGCGUGGGGAGCGAACAGGCUUAGAUACCCUGGUAGUCCACGCUGUAAACGGUGGGUACUAGGUGUGGGGUCCAUUCCACGGGUUCCGUGCCGUAGCUAACGCUUUAAGUACCCCGCCUGGGGAGUACGGCCGCAAGGCUAAAACUCAAAGGAAUUGACGGGGCCCCGCACAAGCGGCGGAGCAUGCGGAUUAAUUCGAUGCAACGCGUAGAACCUUACCUGGGUUUGACAUGGAUCGGGAGUGCUCAGAGAUGGGUGUGCCUCUUUUGGGGUCGGUUCACAGGUGGUGCAUGGCUGUCGUCAGCUCGUGUCGUGAGAUGUUGGGUUAAGUCCCGCAACGAGCGCAACCCUUGUUCACUGUUGCCAGCACGUUAUGGUGGGGACUCAGUGGAGACCGCCGGGGUCAACUCGGAGGAAGGUGGGGAUGACGUCAAGUCAUCAUGCCCCUUAUGUCCAGGGCUUCACGCAUGCUACAAUGGCUGGUACAGAGAGUGGCGAGCCUGUGAGGGUGAGCGAAUCUCGGAAAGCCGGUCUCAGUUCGGAUUGGGGUCUGCAACUCGACCUCAUGAAGUCGGAGUCGCUAGUAAUCGCAGAUCAGCAACGCUGCGGUGAAUACGUUCCCGGG
RNAcentral lists this ribosomal RNA (1343 nucleotides) under uncultured bacterium. RNAcentral's name for it is "16S ribosomal RNA". It matches the Rfam family "Bacterial small subunit ribosomal RNA", at positions 28 to 1378 of the family's 1533-position model. The record is from RNAcentral.